RNAcentral lists this transfer RNA (72 nucleotides) under Camelus bactrianus (Bactrian camel). It matches the Rfam family "tRNA". From Rfam's summary of the family: Transfer RNA (tRNA) molecules are approximately 80 nucleotides in length. Their secondary structure includes four short double-helical elements and three loops (D, anti-codon, and T loops). Further hydrogen bonds mediate the characteristic L-shaped molecular structure. tRNAs have two regions of fundamental functional importance: the anti-codon, which is responsible for specific mRNA codon recognition, and the 3' end, to which the tRNAs corresponding amino acid is attached (by aminoacyl-tRNA synthetases). tRNAs cope with the degeneracy of the genetic code in two manners: having more than one tRNA (with a specific anti-codon) for a particular amino acid; and 'wobble' base-pairing, i.e. permitting non-standard base-pairing at the 3rd anti-codon position. RNAcentral also lists the same sequence under 3 other names. Lineage: Eukaryota; Metazoa; Chordata; Mammalia; Artiodactyla; Camelidae. The record is from Rfam by way of RNAcentral.
GAGGGUAUAGCUCAGUGGUGGAGCACAUGCUUAGCAUGCACGAGGUCCUGUGUUCAAUCCCCAGUAUCUCCA